UCGGCGACAGAUUGCGAGCGUCGACAACUUCAACUAUCAGUUUGUGUAGAGUUGCCAUGACUGUUGGAACUUGGUAAGUAUCAGCUUAUAAUUGGAAAUGAAUUAACUUGUAUCUUCUUCACAUCAUACCUUACUUUCAAGUAAUGACUAUCAUGCUUUACUUUCAAGUAAUGAGAAAAAGAAGAGGAGAGGAGUAAUCAUGAUAAAAUGGGAAACACAAGGAAGAGAGUGUAGUGUAGUGGGAUUCCACUUGGGGGGUGGGUGUGCAAGGGAAAGAGGAAAAAGUGCUUAAAACUUCAUCCCCAAGGGCCAAAGGCCAAGGGGGCUUUAUUGUUUCUUGAUUUUCAAGAAGCUUUAGACUCUUGAGGCCAAAGACAAACAUCCAUGUCUCCUUUUCUUGGUAAGAUAAUAAUACUUUUCUUUUAUAGACUGAAGAUUCUGUCUCUCAGUUCUCCUUUUCCCUUUGCCCAUUCCAUCUCAAAUCAAUAUUUUAAAUUUAGAGGUCUUAUUUGAAGCAAUAAUAAUAUGCUUUAUGGCUUCAGGAGAGUGGGGUGCUGCCAAGUGAUGGCAUGCUUUUUUCAAAGAUGAUUUGCUUUUGUGUCACCGACCGCGGGGCGUGUUGCUUUUUAUCAUAACUGGAAAUUUGACAAAGAUGACACCCAGCUAGACACUACCUAGCAAGUCCCGUUCAUUGGAACAGUACAGCACAGAUAUUCAAGGUAAAUGAAUGUUAUUUCUCCCCCCCCCCCCCCAAAAGUAAAAGUUCGUGUGGUUUGGGACAAAACACAAUAUGCACCCACUAUUCCUUAGUCACGGGUCUAAAUUGGAGUUUCUAUUGACUAAAAGACCAACUGAUACCCCACAACGAUUAUGAAGAACAACAAUACCCCACAAGUCGUGUGUCGAUGGUUGAAAACUAGAGCGAUAUUAGAGCCGAAUUGUUUAAAACUAGCGCGAAAUCUUUGUGUCGAAUCCUACAAACCAGAGUAUGAUAGUUGGUCGAGCACAAGAUGAGGCUAAACCCUAAUCUUAUACCCGACCACCAUGGUUUCAAAUUGGAGUAGAGAAUUUUAGGAAGAAACUUUGGUUCGAAGAGAACUAUUUCUCUAUCGACUUCAAAAAGAGAGACUAUAUUCGAGGGGUAAAACAGUAAUCAAGUCUAUAAUAUGUACUGCAUGAGUUGGAGUUGCUUAAUCACUUUAUUUAGCAUUUUGCUUUUUUUAUUAGAACUUUUUUGGUGCUGGAAAAAUGAAAAAGGACCAAUAGAAAUGGUAGGAAAGAGAACGAAGAGAUCGAGUAGUGGGAGGUAAGAAAAGGAUUUAAGGUGCUUAACUUAAUCUCCAAGGAGGUAUACUAUACACCAUUGGAUUGAUGAUCUCCCAAGAGAUAUAUAAUAAAUUUUAUUAUAAAAUUUUAUCCUUAGUUUUUAAUCUUUUGCUUGAUACCAGAAUGGAUACUUUUGUUUUGUGAAAUUCUACUGAAACCCUCUAAUUUUCUCGCUGACUACACCCCAAUUCCUUUUCGUUCAUUUAAAUUUCAAACAUACUCCAUUUAAAAAACAGAAGAACUCAACUGCAUGCCACCAGGGACUUCCCCAGUGGAAAAGAUCUUAGGUUUGAACUUUCAUGAGAUCUUAGUUGAGUGCGUAUGUAAAAAAAUUUCAUCUCUUAUAGUUUAGACUAUCACUUGUACUAAAAAUAAAAAUAAAAAUAAAAAUAAAAUAACUCAACGGCAUAUGUGGUGUUGAUGCGAAAAAGUGGUUUGGCACUUUAUCGGGCUCAACUUAGUGAUGUUUGGGCCUUCGGUAUGCUUGGGCCUCGAUGUAGCGCGAGAUCUGCAAGAUAACAAACGCUCGGUAAGACCUCAGGCACCGGUGUGGUACCAGCCGAAGGCUCUCCAAUGCUUAAGUAAGUACGGAUUUAGCAAUGGAUGUGAAUAGAUCCAAAGGCAGUAUACCGAAAGUUCAAAUUACCUCCCUUUUGAGAAAUUGUGCUCCUUUUAUAAACUUUGGGAAGUGUGCAAGUUGUGUAGAAUUUCGAUGUGGGACUAUAGACAUUCACUGUGGAUACGCUACGUGCCCAGUGGGCAUUUGUGUUUUGUAUUGCAAUCGGUAUGCUUGGGUGCCAAGAGCUUCCCUGCCGAUGCCAAGCAUUGUCCACGUGUUCAGCCUUAAUUGGUCGCUGAUUCUGGUAUCAACAUGUGGCUUAACACCAGCAACGCGAGAGAGAAAGCAGGUUAAUUCAUCACCUGUUGCUGGCAACCAAUGUCUUACAUAUUGACGGAAAUGUAAGUGGAAAAAACAAAGGGAAAACAGGUUAGUUUCCUGCGCACAUUACUGUGGGAAAAUCCGUCUUUGCAUACCAUUCUUUUAAUGUGAGUUCGUUGAAAAUUUAAAGGAUAGAAUUCAAAUUUCAGCAAUAAACUCACAUAAGUCGGGAGAACCGCGAAAAUACAGAAAACAAUCUAUUUAAAAUGGGUACAAAUACAAUAAAUGAAUCAUUUAUUCAAAUUUUUUCCAGUUGGAAAACAGAAACUUUCAUUGAUUUAUUGACAUUAUGCAACAUAAUUUACAAUCCCUUAAUUUAAAAUAUCACAUUUCAAAUGGCCAUGCCCUAACCUAGAAACUAGUCUAAAAAAAUUAAAGGAAACAAAGUCCCAAAAAGGAGUAUGAGAUAAACUUCUGCUACUUUAUGGAUUUGAAAGAUAUAAAAAGUAUCCGCUGAGCUAAUUCUAUACAGUUCAAUGUACAGCAGUGUAUUUAACCCAAAAUGUAAACUGAAAUAAACGAACAGGAGGUGCCUCUAUUUCUACCUAAUUUAAGAUGGGUUCUUCACAAUCCUAACGCUGCUGUAGAAGCGCCUAAGGUCCUUCAUAGCCUUUUCCUCAAUCUGAAUUGAUCGAAUCGAUGAGGGUGUAUCCACCUCUGGUUUGAACCAGCGGUUCACUCCAGAAGCAUCCAAUGGUGAACCCUGACCAUUAGUGACUGAGAAUCCAGCCGUUUUAGUCUUUGGACUGUGGGAAAGACUAUGAUGUUGUUUUCCCUGAUUUGAGACAUAAAUAAAGACAGGUAUGAGAAUGGUAAAUUAAACGCUUGAAAUAUACAUGACUCCACAUGUGGCAACAAGAAAACAACUCAAAAAGAAUGCAUGGAAUUCAGUACACAUAACAAAGGAUAUUAAUGGUCCAAACACAUAAGAAGAGAGAGAGAGGGUGCAAUUCACAUACCUGCUGCAUUUGGAUGUCCCUAAGAGAAGGGCGAGAAAGAAGGGGAGGAGUUCCCGAAGCAGUCCAAGGAGGUGUACCUCUUUCUCCAUCAGAUGCCACUGAAGUAUGGGUUGCAACCACUGGUAUCGAGACCACUGGUAUUGGCUUGGAAGGCAAAAACGAACUCAGUAGAAUCUUCCCAUCACUUCUAGCAUUGAAAGGAUCUUCUGCAUGACCUCUGUUCCUAGUUGACUGACUGUCCUUGGUUUUGCUUUGCUCAUCCUGAAUCGCACGAAGAGAUGCAAAUCCUUUCGGGAUUUUAGCUCCACCCCAUGCAGGGCCUUCACUUUUUGGGGAUGGUGGGGGUGGUACAAUGUAUUUGGGGGCAUCAUCAAGAGCGCCACUCAAGAACAUAGAAAGCCCACCCUUUUUAUUCUUCUUCUUGGAAGUUAUUGGUGAUGAACACUUAUUCUUUGUUAGGUUUAAAUUGUCCUUCUGAACACACAAAGCUGACUCCUUAGUGGUUUGGUUUGUCAUAAUCCCUUCACUCAUGGCAUCUUCCUCCUAUCAAAGGUACAAUUCAAAGAAUUUAGCAAAUGAGAUGAAUUAUUGCACAUAUCGUUAAAAUAUGUGUUCCCACUAAGUUGUAGAGAAUAUUUUAACCAGGGAAAGGGAUACCAAAAAUCAAGUCUUGUUUGGGAAGAAGGCAAUAAUCCAAUAGUAAUUACGAAAUGCAAGUUCCGAGUAAAUUGCACACCAAGAUCAAGUAAAAAUGUAAGUGCAGUUAAACUACUAAAAAAUGGGUGCAAGCCUUGAUGUUCAAUCAAAUUACAUUUUGCCAUCUAGGUGGCAAACAAGCUAUGGAAAGUAAUAAAGGGUGAGACCAAAAUCAUCAUCCUGUAUUUUGGAUAAAGAUUUUUAGCACAAAUGAUCCCUGACCAUAUAAAAGCCCUCACUUUAGUCCUCAAACUUUUGAAUCAAUCAAUGUGGAUCCAGUCUUUCGGUCCACAUUCUGACCCCAAAAAAAAAUCUUUUGGUCCACACAUCAAUUUGAUCCUUGUCAUCGCAUUCCAUCAAAAUUUUCGCUAAAACUAGUCUCGUGUCAUCAUCUGACAAAAUUUGAAGGGCUAUUUUUCAUCAAAAUAUAGCUCAUCCGCCCAAUACACAAAGUAAAGCUCACGCCUCUUAACAAUUUCAGGGACCAUUCAUGAUAAGAACCCGUUGGAUAAUGCCAAACAGCAAGUAUGAAGUUGUUAACCAUCAUAAAUGCACGUCAACAAAUUGAAAAGAUUUCAAACCGCAUUCAAAGAUUCAAACAUCUCAAAAGAAAAACACAAUCAUCUCAAUUAGCUGGAAAAAGAUGAUUUGGUGAAUAAUCAUCUUUUACUGAAAUCAAUUCAAACUUGAUAAUAAAACGAAUUUUGGAAUUUAACAAGCUCACCUUAUUUUUUGUGGUUUGAGAGAUUUCAAUACUCAAGAAAUCUUUUGUGUGUUUUGGUUCUACUUCAUCCCCCGGAAAAGAAGACCCUAUAUCCACUGGUGUGGCCAUCUGUUUGUUCUUUCUCCUCUGUUUUUUUGAUAGCUCAACCCUUUUGUUCCCUUUUCCAUCUGGCUGAACGGAAGAUGAUGCCUUCAAUGGUGGUGUCUCAACUGGAACACCAAGCUCAGCAAGCUCGCUUUCAAGAGCUGGCCUCGUCUGAAGCUUUGUAAUUUGCUGGUCAUCAAGAAGUUGCCCACUAGACUGUUUUGCUUCAAGCAUCUCAAUCUGCUGCAACUUUUUCCGCAAGGCUCGAACUUGCUUGCCGAGACCAUGAUUUAGAUCAUCUUUGGGCUGUAGAAAGGAAUCUGGUCUUUGGUGUAUUUCAUUUUUCGAUGUGGAUUGCUUUGUAUGGCCGUCACGUGUCCUUUGAACCUCAUUCUCACUACCUUCCUCUUCACUAUAAAUAGUAGCAGGAAAAGUAGCUGUAGGAGUUGGGAGACGACGGUAACUCCAUGGUUCAGAUGACCUUAGGUCCAAUAUAUUUUCAAGGUUAGCUAGAGCAUCUGUUGAAGCACUAGCAAUAGCUUGUGAUGAUACCGUAAAUAUAUAGUCAAGGUUGCGUAUGGCAAUGUCCUGCAAUAACAAACACAGCUUCAAUAAUUAAAUAAUUAAGUAGCAUGUAAACUACAAAUCUGCAAAAACUUGGAUCACAAGUCCCAUAAACAGAAGCAUGAGACAAUACUACAUCGUCUUGUAGUUCUUAAAGUGUUCUAGACAAUAACCUGCCCUCCACUAUACUUCUAUGUUCCAAAAGAAGAUAAAGCGGACUGUAUUGGAGAUAUUGAUAACUAAACCACAAAAACUUACUGGAAAAAAAAAAAAAAACACUCAAAGGCCACCCAGAAUCGGCACAUACCACCUUAUAUAUUAGGCCUGAGAGUGGAGAUAUCCAGGUGACCCAACAACAGGAAUCAUAUAUAUAUAAAUAUAUUCAAAUCACAAAUUAUUAUGACGUGAGGUCCAAAAUUCCUGUUGUAUAAUAAUUACACAACGUAGGCAGAUGAUCACAACACAACCAACAGAAAGCUGGACAUAAAUUCAAAUCUGAUACAAUUUGAAACAGGUUAAGAGUUUCAUAAUUUUCCUUCACAUAUUGAGCAGUCCAUGAGGAAGAAUACCUCACAAUACUUCUGUAAAUCAUCUGCCACGAGUGAAUCAGCAAUUUCAAGCAGUUGAAUAGCAUUUCGUGGCUCCACUAGAUUCUCUCCUGCCACUUUUUCACAAAGACUUUUUAAGGUUGGUAUGGGCCCCUUAUCAGUAUCAUCGUUUUGGAUAGUAGGUAAAAGAGUAUCGGACUCCAUAUCAUUGAACAUAAGAUCUUCGUCAAGCUCUUCUAGCUCAUCUUUGACAUUUGACUUCUGCUUCUGAGGGUUCUUCACCACAUUGGAAGGAUAGACAGGAUGAUAAAGGGAACCAAUAAUCAAUACGUGUGUUUCACCUACAGAAACUGAAGUAGCCCGUUUUGUACCAUGUAACCGAGUUGCAACUGGUGGCUUAUCCUUACCUUUCUUCCCAUCCCACAUGUAAACAUCACCUGUAGCUGUAACGGCAGCAGUCCAGUAUUUCCCUGCAGAUAUGUUCACCAUAUUUCUUCCACCCAGCGAAUACAACUAGACAAACAAAAAAACAUAGAGAAGAUUAGAGAUUGACAUGUGCUGCUAGAAAGGAUUAGACAUUCAACAAAAACACUAUUAUGCUAAAGCAAAACCUGUUGGCAUCUUAGAUCAGGAUCUGAUGAAAUCCAAUAAAAUAAUGCACCAUCAUCUGUCAGAGCCAUGCUAUGUACCAUCCCUGCAGCUAUAGAAACCACAUGAAGCCGUUCUUUGCGAUGAAACUUCAAAGUGGUAUUUCCACUCUUUUUCAAGUUUCUAGCAACUACAACACGUUUGGGUGUAACAAUUCGAUGACCCCAAGUGUAUACCUGGUACAUAUAUACAUACAGGAUUUAGCUCAACUACCGCCAAUAGGUGGAGAAGUAUUCACAAGAUAGCAAAGGUAAUAAAAUAGGUUGAAAAUAUAUCUUGAACUGAACAGGAGAAAAAAUCUAAUAUGUGAGCCUAAGAGAAGAAUAUGUACUGUUAAAUCGGGUUAAAAUUACCUCCCCGUCAACUCCCAAGACAAUUGUGUGAAAUUUUGCUGCUGCAACACCCGCAAAAACCUUGCCUUUCAAGUAUUCAACUCCUCUUGGAGUGUAAUUUGACGCAGAGUUAGAUGUACCGUAGCCAAGCUGACCCUCCCUAUUGCAGCCCCAUGUGAAAACCUCACCAUUAUCAGAAACAACAGCCGUGUGCUUGUUUGCUGCAGCAACUGCAACAACUUUUGAUCUAAGGGAACUCACUCUUCGAGGUGUAGGUUGGGUGUCCACAGAAGUGUACCCAAGCUGACCCUCUGCACAACAUCAUGUGAAAAUAAUCAAUUUUCCAUAGUCUUCAGAUGCUAGCAACACAUAGAUCAUAGAUAAAUCUUUUACUAAUGCCAGAAUACGUUAAAGGAAAAUAAUAAAUUUUCUCAUAUAUCGAAUCGUGCAAGGACCCAGUAAAUAAAGACAACUAAAUUUGCGCUUCUUUUGUUAUGAUAGGUAAGUGGUGAGCAAAUUGCAAACACUUUUGGUUGGAAGUCCUCAUGAUUUACCUCUGUUGGAUCCCCAAGUAAAAACUUCUCCACCCUCUGUAGCAAUAACAGUGUGAUGUUUAGCUGCAGCAAUUGCUUUUACCCGACGGGAC
Molecule: long non-coding RNA, 7467 nt
Filed under: Prunus persica (peach)
Lineage: Eukaryota; Viridiplantae; Streptophyta; Magnoliopsida; Rosales; Rosaceae
Description: long non-coding RNA (PPER_LNC006766)
Source: RNAcentral